This 256-nucleotide long non-coding RNA is filed under the name Elaeis guineensis (African oil palm). RNAcentral's name for it is "long non-coding RNA (EGUI_LNC067470)". Lineage: Eukaryota; Viridiplantae; Streptophyta; Magnoliopsida; Arecales; Arecaceae. The record is from RNAcentral.
UACAAAAGCUUAAAUAUCUACAAUUACACUUUGACUAUUUCGAGAUCUUCCACAUUCUUCAUUUGGAGAGUGCCCGAGCUGGCUCCCUAUCUAGUCUCGCUACCUCUGAUUGCGAUGAGCUUGAAAAAUUCUUCAUCAAGCAUCUCAAGAGCUCGGGCAUUGACUCAGAGGAAGAAGUUCACCAGGUCCAAAUCAGAUAUGAGUUGAGUUGUAUUGACCCAUUCAUCAACUUCUUGACAGAUGAAACCUUGCUGGC